RNAcentral lists this ribosomal RNA (734 nucleotides) under Achromobacter sp. 110518_136_C_E10. Its description in RNAcentral is "bacterial SSU rRNA". It matches the Rfam family "Bacterial small subunit ribosomal RNA", at positions 18 to 747 of the family's 1533-position model. The record is from RNAcentral. RNAcentral also lists the same sequence under 1 other name. Lineage: Bacteria; Pseudomonadati; Pseudomonadota; Betaproteobacteria; Burkholderiales; Alcaligenaceae.
UAUGGCUCAGAUUGAACGCUAGCGGGAUGCCUUACACAUGCAAGUCGAACGGCAGCACGGACUUCGGUCUGGUGGCGAGUGGCGAACGGGUGAGUAAUGUAUCGGAACGUGCCUAGUAGCGGGGGAUAACUACGCGAAAGCGUAGCUAAUACCGCAUACGCCCUACGGGGGAAAGCAGGGGAUCGCAAGACCUUGCACUAUUAGAGCGGCCGAUAUCGGAUUAGCUAGUUGGUGGGGUAACGGCUCACCAAGGCGACGAUCCGUAGCUGGUUUGAGAGGACGACCAGCCACACUGGGACUGAGACACGGCCCAGACUCCUACGGGAGGCAGCAGUGGGGAAUUUUGGACAAUGGGGGAAACCCUGAUCCAGCCAUCCCGCGUGUGCGAUGAAGGCCUUCGGGUUGUAAAGCACUUUUGGCAGGAAAGAAACGUCAUGGGUUAAUACCCCGUGAAACUGACGGUACCUGCAGAAUAAGCACCGGCUAACUACGUGCCAGCAGCCGCGGUAAUACGUAGGGUGCAAGCGUUAAUCGGAAUUACUGGGCGUAAAGCGUGCGCAGGCGGUUCGGAAAGAAAGAUGUGAAAUCCCAGAGCUUAACUUUGGAACUGCAUUUUUAACUACCGAGCUAGAGUGUGUCAGAGGGAGGUGGAAUUCCGCGUGUAGCAGUGAAAUGCGUAGAUAUGCGGAGGAACACCGAUGGCGAAGGCAGCCUCCUGGGAUAACACUGACGCU